GACGAACGCUGGCGGCGUGCCUAAUACAUGCAAGUCGAGCGAAGUUUUUCUGGUGCUUGCACUAGAAAAACUUAGCGGCGAACGGGUGAGUAACACGUAAAGAACCUGCCUCAUAGACGGGGACAACUAUUGGAAACGAUAGCUAAUACCGGAUAACAGCAUAAAUCGCAUGAUAUAUGUUUAAAAGUUGGUUUCGGCUAACACUAUGAGAUGGCUUUGCGGUGCAUUAGCUAGUUGGUGGGGUAAAGGCCUACCAAGGCGACGAUGCAUAGCCGACCUGAGAGGGUGAUCGGCCACACUGGGACUGAGACACGGCCCAGACUCCUACGGGAGGCAGCAGUAGGGAAUCUUCCGCAAUGGGCGAAAGCCUGACGGAGCAACGCCGCGUGAGUGAAGAAGGGUUUCGGUUCGUAAAGCUCUGUUGUUAGGGAAGAAUGAUUGUAUAGUAACUAUAUACAGUAGAGACGGUACCUAACCAGAAAGCCACGGCUAACUACGUGCCAGCAGCCGCGGUAAUACGUAGGUGGCAAGCGUUGUCCGGAAUUAUUGGGCGUAAAGCGCGCGCAGGUGGUUUAAUAAGUCUGAUGUGAAAGCCCACGGCUCACCCGUGGAAGGGUCAUUGGAAACUGUUAAACUUGAGUGCAGGAGAGAAAAGUGGAAUUCCUAGUGUAGCGGUGAAAUGCGUAGAGAUUAGGAGGACACCAGUGGCGAAGGCGGCUUUUUUGGCCUGUACUGACACUGAGGCGCGAAAGCGGGGGAGCAAACAGGAUAGAUACCCUGGUAGUCCAAGGGCGAUUCACAGUGGAUAUCAGCUUAUCGAUACCGUCGACUCGAGGGGGGGCUCGUUACCAAGUUUAUGUUCACAUUAGGAGGGUUUAAUAUG
Molecule: ribosomal RNA, 883 nt
Filed under: uncultured bacterium
Lineage: Bacteria
Description: bacterial SSU rRNA
Rfam family: Bacterial small subunit ribosomal RNA
Source: RNAcentral